UACGUAGGGGGCUAGCGUUGUCCGGAAUCAUUGGGCGUAAAGCGCGUGUAGGCGGUCCGGUAAGUCCGCUGUGAAAGUCGGGGGCUCAACCCUCGAAUGCCGGUGGAUACUGUCGGGCUAGAGUGCGGAAGAGGCGAGUGGAAUUCCUGGUGUAGCGGUGAAAUGCGCAGAUAUCAGGAGGAACACCAAUAGCGAAGGCAGCUCGCUGGGACGUUACUGACACUAAGGCGCGAAAGCGUGGGGAGCGAACAGG
Molecule: ribosomal RNA, 253 nt
Filed under: uncultured bacterium
Lineage: Bacteria
Description: partial 16S ribosomal RNA
Rfam family: Bacterial small subunit ribosomal RNA
Source: RNAcentral